GAGUUUGAUUCUGGCUCAGAUUGAACGCUGGCGGCAUGCUUUACACAUGCAAGUCGAACGGCAGCACAGGGAGCUUGCUCCUGGGUGGCGAGUGGCGAACGGGUGAGUAAUGUAUCGGAACGUGCCUGGUAGUGGGGGAUAACCACUCGAAAGAGUGGCUAAUACCGCAUGAGACCUCUGGAUGAAAGCGGGGGACCUUUGGGCCUCGCGCUAUCGGAGCGGCCGAUAUCAGAUUAGGUUGUUGGUGGGGUAAAGGCCUACCAAGCCUGCGAUCUGUAGCUGGUCUGAGAGGACGACCAGCCACACUGGGACUGAGACACGGCCCAGACUCCUACGGGAGGCAGCAGUGGGGAAUUUUGGACAAUGGGCGCAAGCCUGAUCCAGCAAUGCCGCGUGCAGGACGAAGGCCCUCGGGUUGUAAACUGCUUUUGUACAGAACGAAAAGUCUCUGGCUAAUAUCUGGGGAACAUGACGGUA
RNAcentral lists this ribosomal RNA (477 nucleotides) under Brachymonas sp. canine oral taxon 015. RNAcentral's name for it is "bacterial SSU rRNA". It matches the Rfam family "Bacterial small subunit ribosomal RNA", at positions 9 to 477 of the family's 1533-position model. Lineage: Bacteria; Pseudomonadati; Pseudomonadota; Betaproteobacteria; Burkholderiales; Comamonadaceae. The record is from RNAcentral.